GUAGUUUGAUCUUGGCUCAGGAUGAACGCUGGCGGCGUGCUUAACACAUGCAAGUCGAACGGGGUCACCAUUUUGAAGCGAUUAGCUUGCUAAGAGUGGAAAUGUUGGCGGCUUAGUGGCGGACGGGUGAGUAACGCGUGGGUAACCUGCCAUAUACAGGGGAUAACACUUAGAAAUAGGUGCUAAUACCGCAUAAGCGCACGGAGCUGCAUGGCUCAGUGUGAAAACUCCGGUGGUAUAUGAUGGACCCGCGUCUGAUUAGCUUG
RNAcentral lists this ribosomal RNA (266 nucleotides) under uncultured microorganism. RNAcentral describes it as "partial 16S ribosomal RNA". It matches the Rfam family "Bacterial small subunit ribosomal RNA", at positions 9 to 248 of the family's 1533-position model. The record is from RNAcentral.